Molecule: non-coding RNA, 1332 nt
Organism: Phoenix dactylifera (date palm)
Lineage: Eukaryota; Viridiplantae; Streptophyta; Magnoliopsida; Arecales; Arecaceae
Source: RefSeq, a predicted model, not a curated record
AAUUGUAAUUUCUGCAUAGUUUCUUGUAUAUAUCUUAUAGAACAAGUCUUUUAUCAAAGAAUAUCUUUCUAGUGUUACAGUCACUCUCGUUCAGUUGUUUCCUAGGAUAAUUCAAUGGUGUUUUGGAAUAACAAUAUGCUGACAGUGGAUAUUUUAUUUUAUUUUUAUUGUAGAAGAUAUUAGUAGAUAAUAGGCUAUAUAAUGGAAGUAUGUCUUCCGGAUGCCCUUAAACUUCCAAUUCUGGUGAGGGUGGGAUCAGUUAUAGCUUCCUCCAGGGUUUUUAAUUUGAAGAAUAUGCUGUUAGUCCAAAGCAAAAAGUUUUUCACUCUCGUCCUCUUAUGGUUUUCCGUUGCUAUAAGAUGAAUCUUUUUUAUUUCUGUGUUUAUGCACUCUCUGAAUAUCGAAUGAUUUAAAUUUAAUAUAUUUGAGUUCAAAUAUGUUCUGCGAUGAAGAUUGAAGAGGACACGAUUUUAGAUCCAGUGGUGCUGGGAAGCUUUUUUCCUUUUCAGCUGGCAUGGUCGCUCUCUCUCUCUCUCUCUCUCUCUCUCUCUCUCUCUCUCUUCUCGUUUCUAUACAGCAUCAGGCUUCCAGAAAGCUUUUUAUCAUUUUCACCAUCGGUUCUGAAGCAGACAAAAAGCUUCCACGGGGUUAAGAGCAACUUUUGAAGCAACAAUGCCAGAGAAGAGGAGGGAAGGAGACUCAAAACAUAUCCUGAGUCCCAUGCAAAGGAGGAGCUGAAUCAUGUUGAUUGUUUCCAGCCUUCAUGUCUUCCAAAAGACGAGGAUUGCGCUCAACUCAUCAUGGUUAUCAUUACAGUAAUUAGUUGGUGCAAAGGGUCAUUACUGAAUAAGCACUCAAUUUAGCAAUAAUUUUGACAUUGAGGGCAAGUGGUGAGGUGUUAAUCAGGGUACGAGGAUUCCAAGAUGGUGCUCUUAUUUGCGAACAGUAAAAGUAGGGACACACAAGGCUGCAAUGGACUGAAUAAUGCCCAUGGUUGGUUUAAAGUUUCAUGGACAAACAAUGAUGGCUAAUGUCUUGUACCUCACUAUUAGCUUCAUCGCCAGAACUGUCGAGGGUGAAAUGGGAAGCUAAGUAGCUUUUGUUUAGGUUAGUAGUUCAUGCAAUAAUGGUCACUGCAAAGUUGGCAACUUUUUUCUUCUUCUUUUUUUUCUUUCAAAUAUUUAUUGUCAUAUUUCAAAAGAAAAAUAUUAAUCAUUAGGUGUUCUUUUUUGGGGGUUUGUGAGAGUCCUCGAAUGACCUUCAGCUUUUUGCUGUCUUGUUUUAAUGGGCACAGGGCAGCCUAAGCUUCCACAAAUUGGGCUUCAACCAGCA